This 491-nucleotide ribosomal RNA is filed under the name uncultured bacterium. Its description in RNAcentral is "partial 16S ribosomal RNA". It matches the Rfam family "Bacterial small subunit ribosomal RNA", at positions 28 to 507 of the family's 1533-position model. The record is from RNAcentral.
GAUGAACGCUGGCUACAGGCUUAACACAUGCAAGUCGAGGGGAAACGACGGGGAAGCUUGCUUCCCCGGGCGUCGACCGGCGCACGGGUGAGUAACGCGUAUCCAACCUGCCUCUGACUGAGGGAUAACCCGUCGAAAGUCGGCCUAAUACCUCAUGGCAUCGUCUGCGGGCAUCCAACGACGAUUAAAGAUUUCAUCGGUCAGGGAUGGGGAUGCGUCUGAUUAGCUUGUUGGCGGGGUAACGACCCACCAAGGCUACGAUCAGUAGGGGUUCUGAGAGGAAGGUCCCCCACAUUGGAACUGAGACACGGUCCAAACUCCUACGGGAGGCAGCAGUGAGGAAUAUUGGUCAAUGGGCGGGAGCCUGAACCAGCCAAGUAGCGUGCAGGAUGACGGCCCUAUGGGUUGUAAACUGCUUUUAUGCGGGGAUAAAGUGAGGGACGUGUCCUUCAUUGCAGGUACCGCAUGAAUAAGGACCGGCUAAGUCCGUG